GACGGAAGGUGCAAGCGUUGCUCGGAAUCACUGGGCGUAAAGGGUGCGUAGGCGGCCGUGCAAGUCUGGCGUGAAAGCCCCGGGCUCAGCCCGGGAAGUGCGCUCGAAACUGCAGGGCUAGAGUCCUGGAGAGGAAGGUGGAAUGCUUGGUGUAGAGGUGAAAUUCGUAGAUAUCAAGCGGAACACCGGUGGCGAAGGCGGCCUUCUGGACAGUGACUGACGCUGAGACGCGAAAGCGUGGGGAGCAAACAGG
Molecule: ribosomal RNA, 253 nt
Filed under: uncultured bacterium
Lineage: Bacteria
Description: partial 16S ribosomal RNA
Rfam family: Bacterial small subunit ribosomal RNA
Source: RNAcentral